AACGAACGCUGGCGGCAGGCUUAACACAUGCAAGUCGAGCGCCCCGCAAGGGGUGCGGCAGACGGGUGAGUAACGCGUGGGGACGUACCUUUUGGUUCGGAACAACUCCGGGAAACUGGAGCUAAUACCGGAUAAGCCCUAACGGGGAAAGAUUUAUCGCCGAAAGAUCGGCCCGCGUCUGAUUAGCUAGUUGGUGAGGUAACGGCGCACCAAGGCGACGAUCAGUAGCUGGUCUGAGAGGAUGAUCAGCCACACUGGGACUGAGACACGGCCCAGACUCCUACGGGAGGCAGCAGUGGGGAAUAUUGGACAAUGGGCGCAAGCCUGAUCCAGCCAUGCCGCGUGAGUGAUGAAGGCCUUAGGGUUGUAAAGCUCUUUUGUCCGGGAAGAUAAUGACUGUACCGGAAGAAUAAGCCCCGGCUAACUUCGU
RNAcentral lists this ribosomal RNA (430 nucleotides) under uncultured bacterium. RNAcentral's name for it is "partial 16S ribosomal RNA". It matches the Rfam family "Bacterial small subunit ribosomal RNA", at positions 29 to 506 of the family's 1533-position model. The record is from RNAcentral.